This 396-nucleotide ribosomal RNA is filed under the name Triticum aestivum (bread wheat). RNAcentral's name for it is "partial small subunit ribosomal RNA". Lineage: Eukaryota; Viridiplantae; Streptophyta; Magnoliopsida; Poales; Poaceae. The record is from RNAcentral.
AUGAGGGGAAUGGAGAAAGAGGAGCAGUAUCGGGAAGGAGUUUUGGGCGAUGGGCAGCCGCGCCAGGCGACAUGCUCGCGGUGCCGCUUGGUGGCUGAGAUGAGGCUGCCGCAUGCUCUGUUCCGAUGGGCCUCCUCUGCUCGAUGGUUGCACUGGUUGAGUUUGGUACGGUUCCUGUUGUCGGCUGCGUCGAGCCUUGGGUCUUGUCUGUCCUUCGCAUUGAGGAUAAAUAGCACGGACAACAUAUCAGUGCUCUAUCUGUGUCUAAGGGCUCCAAGAGAUGCAGUCAUAGACAGUGACUGGUCCCUGAAGUUUGGGACGUUAAGGAUAAAAUCAAGCAGUUUUCAGAAACUUUUAGUUGUGGCUCAUGGGUUGGAGCAACUGGGAAACCAUUGA